Molecule: ribosomal RNA, 220 nt
Filed under: uncultured bacterium
Lineage: Bacteria
Description: partial 16S ribosomal RNA
Rfam family: Bacterial small subunit ribosomal RNA
Source: RNAcentral
GCAAGUCGAGCGCGCCCUUCGGGGUGAGCGGCGGACGGGUGAGUAACGCGUGGGAAUAUGCCCUUCUCUAAGGAAUAGCCUCUGGAAACGGAGAGUAAUACCUUAUACGCCCUUCGGGGGAAAGAUUUAUCGGAGAAGGAUUAGCCCGCGUUAGAUUAGGUAGUUGGUGGGGUAAUGGCCUACCAAGCCUACGAUGGGUAGCUGGUCUGAGAGGGCGAUC